RNAcentral lists this ribosomal RNA (229 nucleotides) under uncultured bacterium. RNAcentral's name for it is "partial 16S ribosomal RNA". It matches the Rfam family "Bacterial small subunit ribosomal RNA", at positions 118 to 351 of the family's 1533-position model. The record is from RNAcentral.
UGGAUAACCUGCCCUGAAGUGGGGAAUAACCCGGGGAAACUCGGGCUAAUACCGCAUGAUACCGAGAGGUCAAAGAGGGCUCGCAAGGGCUCUUGCUACAGGAGGGGUCCGCGUUCGAUUAGCUAGUUGGUAGGGUAAUGGCCUACCAAGGCGACGAUCGAUAGCCGGCCUGAGAGGGUGAUCGGCCACACUGGAACUGAGACACGGUCCAGACUCCUACGGGAGGCAG